UAGAUUGGUUCUAUUGUGAGUGGCCAUUGGGCCUUGAUAGGGAAGAACGGUUAAAAUCCGUCGCGGACCCGCCGCCGUAACCGGGAACGAAAGCCGUAAUUAAACCACUGUCGAAGAGAUGGGAAGGCACGGCGAUUAGACUGAUCCGGAAGCCGGAAGACCUGCUUGCAAUCUGUUUGUGGC
RNAcentral lists this non-coding RNA (183 nucleotides) under Spirochaetota bacterium. Lineage: Bacteria; Pseudomonadati; Spirochaetota. The record is from RNAcentral.